RNAcentral lists this long non-coding RNA (866 nucleotides) under Pan troglodytes (chimpanzee). Its description in RNAcentral is "lincRNA". Lineage: Eukaryota; Metazoa; Chordata; Mammalia; Primates; Hominidae. The record is from RNAcentral.
UUUUUCUGCCGUGGUUCGUUCACAAGGCGCGACUGUAGGCAGAGGCUCCCUGUUCUGAAGCUGGCUGUCAGCACUCCCCCAACUGCCGUCUCAAGCAGAGAAAGCAAGGGAGGGAAGCUUCCAGGACCAAGCCCUGGUGGGCAGGUAGCAGCCCACCUCCAGUGAGACGGAGAAGUUGGCCGGGGCCAGCAAUGAAGGACCAGCCUGUCUCCUCCCCGAGAACUGAAAGGCAAAAGGCACCCAAGGCUGGGAAGAGAGCAGCAGCCUCACCAAGUAAGGAAGACAAAAUGAAGCAAUCAGUGAGGGUUUCCUGGGUCUACACAGGGAUUGAAGGAGACACUUCUGGGUGAUGCGAGUGCUGCGCAGCUCAGAACCCUUGGAAGGAUGAGAGGAGGACGAGCCCGGCGGCCUGCCGGUGCGGUGAUGGAGGGCUCUUCGGUAGCCACACUGCGCGCCUCCCACACACACCUUAAGAGUCUUGGGGCCCCGGGCCAGCGCUGCAGCCCAAAGAGACCCUGCAGCCGCAUUUUCUCCCAGGCCGUGGCAAACCCUGGCUUCGCCUCCCUUCACCAUGGCUUGUGAGGGCAGGAGGCUCCCGGGGGCCGACUUCCCUGACCUGAAUGAGUCAGGCACCCUUCUUUAUUUUAAGUGGGGGUGUGACCUGAGGAGAUAAAGGAAGGACGACAGACCUGGGGAGUGGGGCCCUGCAGCCUCUUGGGCCCGGAGCGCACUCCUUCUCCGCUCCCUCCCCUCACCGGCAGGAUCGGGGGUCUUGAAACUGGAGCCGCUCACCGGCCAGCGGAUGAGAGAUAAAGGAGCCCGGCGGCGCCGAAGCGCUGACCAGCAGACCCGGAUCCGGACUUUCC